This 253-nucleotide ribosomal RNA is filed under the name uncultured bacterium. RNAcentral describes it as "partial 16S ribosomal RNA". It matches the Rfam family "Bacterial small subunit ribosomal RNA", at positions 524 to 776 of the family's 1533-position model. The record is from RNAcentral.
UACGGAGGGUGCGAGCGUUGUCCGGAAUCACUGGGCGUAAAGGGCGCGUAGGCGGCUUGGGAAGUCUGUGGUGAAAGCUCGUGGCUCAACUGCGAGUCGGCCAUAGAUACUCCUAAGCUCGAGUCGACUAGAGGCAGAUGGAAUUCCGGGUGUAGCGGUGGAAUGCGUAGAGAUCCGGAAGAACACCGGUGGCGAAAGCAGCUCUCUGGGACGGUACUGACGCUGAGACGCGAAAGCGUGGGGAGCGAACAGG